CCUACGGGAGGCAGCAGUGGGGAAUAUUGGACAAUGGGCGCAAGCCUGAUCCAGCCAUGCCGCGUGAGUGAUGAAGGCCCUAGGGUUGUAAAGCUCUUUUGUGCGGGAAGAUAAUGACGGUACCGCAAGAAUAAGCCCCGGCUAACUUCGUGCCAGCAGCCGCGGUAAUACGAAGGGGGCUAGCGUUGCUCGGAAUCACUGGGCGUAAAGGGUGCGUAGGCGGGUCUUUAAGUCAGGGGUGAAAUCCUGGAGCUCAACUCCAGAACUGCCUUUGAUACUGAAGAUCUUGAGUUCGGGAGAGGGGAGUGGAACUGCGAGUGUAGAGGUGAAAUUCGUAGAUAUUCGCAAGAACACCAGUGGCGAAGGCGGCGCACUGGCCCGAUACUGACGCUGAGGCACGAAAGCGUGGGGAGCAAACAGGAUUAGAUACCCCUGUAGUC
Molecule: ribosomal RNA, 440 nt
Filed under: uncultured Bradyrhizobiaceae bacterium
Lineage: Bacteria; Pseudomonadati; Pseudomonadota; Alphaproteobacteria; Hyphomicrobiales; Nitrobacteraceae
Description: bacterial SSU rRNA
Rfam family: Bacterial small subunit ribosomal RNA
Source: RNAcentral